Artibeus jamaicensis (Jamaican fruit-eating bat) is the source of this 427-nucleotide non-coding RNA. NCBI's taxonomy places the organism in Eukaryota, Metazoa, Chordata, Mammalia, Chiroptera, Phyllostomidae. The record is from the annotation of a RefSeq genome assembly.
ACUGAGAGCAUCAGCCACAGCCACACCCUCCCCUACAGAAGUCCUGACAGCACAGCCUCUCACCAUGGACUGGAGCUGGAGAGUCCUCUUCCUGAUGGCUAUGGCUACAGGUGUCCACUCCCAGGUACAGCUGGUGCAGUCUGGGGCUGAAGUGAGGAAGCCUGGGUCCUCAGUGAAGGUCUCCUGCAAGGCUUCUGGAUACACCUUCACCAGCUAUGGCAUGAACUGGGUACGACAGGCCCCAGCAGGUGCUCUGCAAUAUAUGGGCUGGAUAAACACAUACACUGGGAAACCCACAUAUGCUCAGGGAUUCUCAGAACGCUUUGUAUUCUCCAUGGACACCUCUGUCAGCACUGCCUAUCUUCAGAUCAAUGGCCUGAAGUCUGAAGACACAGCUGUGUAUUACUGUGCAAGAGACACAGUGUGA